Molecule: long non-coding RNA, 571 nt
Filed under: Dasypus novemcinctus (nine-banded armadillo)
Lineage: Eukaryota; Metazoa; Chordata; Mammalia; Cingulata; Dasypodidae
Description: lncRNA (ENSDNOG00000052834.1)
Source: RNAcentral
CCGCUCUCUCCAAGAAGCAUACUUGAUUUUCUAGACUCCCGGUGGCCUCUGUAACUCACAAAAUCCAUGGGCUUAUUUUUUCAAGGUUAAUAUUCCACCUUACUCUGGAACUUUGUCUGUGAGUGCUCCAAAUAUGAAAAAAGCAAAUGAGGUGAACUUUCCAGAGAGAGUGUUCCUGGUGUCAGCGUGUAAGGACUAGUUCAAGCAUGGUUGGUGUUUCCAAGCUCCACUGAGAGGAAAAAUGAGUCCAGGUCACCUCUUGCCACAUUCUCCCCAGGUGUUGCUGUUUGCUACAUGCAAGCCCUUAUUUGGAUCUCCAAGCACCUUGGUCCUAAAGGUAAGAAUUGGCGAUGUUGUACGGAAAAUCAUUUCUUGUUUUUGAAGGCUACUUUCAGUGCCUGAACUCAGGUUUUGGAGAUAUCCCAUUCCAUUUCUCCACAGUUCCUCCCCUUUCUCUAAAUGGGAAAGCACAUCUAUUUUGAGGCUCUAAUAUUCCACUGAGACUGGAAGAUUGAUAAUCUCUAGCAUGCCACCUCUGAACAGAUUUCUCUGGGAUGUGUCCAGGGCAGCC